Molecule: long non-coding RNA, 3848 nt
Organism: Fukomys damarensis (Damara mole-rat)
Lineage: Eukaryota; Metazoa; Chordata; Mammalia; Rodentia; Bathyergidae
Source: Ensembl
UCUAUUUCCUGCUGUCGAUAUUUUUUUUCAGCCAGGAUCUCAGAAAGAGUUUUUAUUCGGAUAGUGGGGGGGCUUCUUGUUCUUGAUGUAGAAUCAUCAGCUUUUGAAGGACUGGCUCUCUCGAGUUUAGUUUGCAACUCUCCCCGUUUUUGACUGGCUCUUUCAAGAAGAAUUUCUUCCAAGGUCUUCACAUGGAUGUCACUGACUUUAUUCCCUCUUAUUGUUGCUUCAUCAUUGCUUGGCCUAGUUGGUACGCCUAAUCUCUCCCUCGGAGACUGGGAAAUCUGCAUUUUAUGUGGUGUUUUGUUGAUAUUUGUUUCUGGAGCUUCCACUUUCUUUCCUAGACGCUCUGCCAGGCUCCGCUUUAAUUUGGGAUCACUGUCAUCAUCAGCUGAGAAUUUUCGUUUCCCCAGUCUGUCAGAAAGAUUCAGUCUAACCAAAGGUUCUUCUACUUUGCUUGACAAAGCUACUGUCUUUAGCACAUUUUUAUCACGCUCUUUUUCAGGACCCAGAAUGCUCUGAGGUUGGAUUAGAGGACUGGAAACUCCUGAAGAAACUUCUUGUUGUAAAUUGACACCAGGUUUCUGUGGAGAAGCCACCUGUAAUGCAUUCUGGACUUCAGGAGUUGACAGUAGAGGUGUUUUGGUUUCAUCACCUUUCUUGGAAGACUGGUUAUCAUCAUCUGUGGCAUUAAUUAUAACCUGUCGGUGUUUGGGGUGAGUAAUAUUUUGGUAACUUCCUCCUUUCACACCGGGAACACUCUGCCGCCGAGGAGAGGGGCUAGACUGCACAGAGACUUUGCUGUGUUGAGCUGCUAGCUGGCCUGCCUUUACUUCUUCAGGUGAUGGGAGUGCAGCGGGCACAACGGUUUUGCUUGGAGGUAGGAACAGGCCGUCGACAUUGGGUCGUCCUCUCUCACGGUGUAAAGCACAGUGUAAUUUUUGACAUCCUACUGGAUGAUUUUCCCUGUAGCACGGAAUUUCACUGCGUCGUCCUCUCUCACGGUGUAAAGCACAGUGUAAUUUUUGACAUCCUAGUGGAUGAUUUUCCCUGUAGCACGGAAUUUCACUGCGUCGUCCUCUCUCACGGUGUAAAGCACAGUGUAAUUUUUGACAUCCUACUGGAUGAUGAUUUUCCCUGUAGCACGGAAUUUCACUGCGUCGUCCUCUCUCACGGUGUAAAGCACAGUGUAAUUUUUGACAUCCUACUGGAUGAUUUUCCCUGUAGCACGGAAUUUCACUGCGUCGUCCUCUCUCACGGUGUAAAGCACAGUGUAAUUUUUGACAUCCUACUGGAUGAUGAUGAUUUUCCCUGUAGCACGGAAUUUCACUGCGUCGUCCUCUCUCACGGUGUAAAGCACAGUGUAAUUUUUGACAUCCUACUGGACGAUUUUCCCUGUAGCACGGAAUUUCACUGCGUCGUCCUCUCUCACGGUGUAAAGCACAGUGUAAUUUUUGACAUCCUACUGGACGAUUUUCCCUGUAGCACGGAAUUUCACUGCGUCGUCCUCUCUCACGGUGUAAAGCACAGUGUAAUUUUUGACAUCCUACUGGACGAUUUUCCCUGUAGCACGGAAUUUCACUGCGUCGUCCUCUCUCACGGUGUAAAGCACAGUGUAAUUUUUGACAUCCUACUGGACGAUUUUCCCUGUAGCACGGAAUUUCACUGCGUCGUCCUCUCUCACGGUGUAAAGCACAGUGUAAUUUUUGACAUCCUACUGGACGAUUUUCCCUGUAGCACGGAAUUUCACUGCGUCGUCCUCUCUCACGGUGUAAAGCACAGUGUAAUUUUUGACAUCCUACUGGAUGAUUUUCCCUGUAGCACGGAAUUUCACUGCGUUUAUUUAUUGUCAUGUGCCGGUAUCUACAAAACGGUUGAAAACAGCGUCCUUCCUGCCAGAAUGGGCAAACUGUGUCAUUUCCCCGCGCAGCUUCACAGUGACGGAAUGGGCACGUGUCACCUCUGGUACAGGUAGAGUAGAAAAAAAAAUAGCAAUCUUCUCCUCGACUAGACAUGCUGAAUGAAUUCUCAGAUCAAAGGUGAGGAGGCUUCCUGAAAUAAGCCACUGCCUCCUCGAAGGGAGGACCAGCUCCAAGUCCUCCUAAAAUGGGCUUGAUCUCCUGAUCUUCCAAAUGACAAGCACAAAAUUGUCUUUAAAAUGUAAUCGUUAGCUGGUUAUUCUUAACAGGAACAUCCGGAUCUUCUCUGAGUUCCAAUCUUUUAUUCUCUUAAUACUAGUUAGUCAAUUUUCUAGGAAUUAUUAGGCAAGGGAAUAUCCCCAGUCAAUCUGCUUCUCCGUCGUCGAAGAACAAGUUGGCUUCCAGGGACCCUCAGUCUCCAGGUUUGUUGCGCAACAGAAGGGGGAGGGGAAGAAGUCAUUCUAGAUUGUGAUGCGUGGGGUGGGGGUGGGGAAGGGCAAAGAGAGGGGAGCCAGAAGCCAGCCCACUCUGCCAGGCCUAGAGUCAACGUCACAAUAUCUUAAUCUACAACCAUAACCAUGGCAACUUCCACUUAAACUGAAAUUAUACCAUAAUGAAAAACAAACAAAAAAAGCCACCCACAAACAACAACCAAAAAAUCUGACCAGCCUUUCAAGUGAGCCUUCUACUACAAUGUAUAGUACCACCUUUCCAACCAAACGUAAACAUCAGUGGAGCACAACACCACCCCAGUAUCUGAAACUCUGACCGAAGUCUCGCGCAGCAUUACCAGAGACCUUCAACAAUAACCACCUCUGUGCAACACAACUCGAACCCACGUUAUAACUUUUUCCUCUACUGUAAUGGGUAGAUUCUGGAAUCCAUUUAACUACGGCUAGUGAACUUAUGCCUGCACAGAAAUGCUCACUCCCACUUACUCUGAAAACACUUUUACUGAACUACUACAAGGAUACCCACUUCAUUCAUUUGAAAUUACUACAAAUGCCAUCAGUCCCACCUCAUCCACUGCAACUAAAAGCACAGUAAUUUCUCGUAAGCUCAAUCCGCUUAGAGACAGCAUAAUCACGUCAGUGAAACUAUGAGGAAAACAACUCUUAACUCCAUCUUCCACUGAGCCCUCAACCACAGCACCAGCUGUCACCGAACAGAACCUCCUUCAGUUCCUCUGAGUGGAAAGAAUUAAAUGAAAUACAGGUACCACUGUAUAAAUCAUUGAUUUUGAAAAUAUUACCAUAAUAAAUUUCUCAGAUGCAAAUUAAUUAGGAGAAAAAUUUAUUACUUUAAACGUUAUUUUGAAAAUGGUAAAAGUUAAUGAGUUAAGUAUUAUUUUAAAAUGAUAAAAAAUAUAAAACAUAAAUCGGACACGGUGCACAUCUGUAGUCUUAGCUACUCAGGUGGCUAAAGCAGGAAGAUUUCAAGUUCAAGCAAGCCUGGGCAAUUUAGUGAGACUUGUCUUAAAAAAGGAGAAAAAUUUAUUACUUUAAACGUUAUUUUGAAAAUGGUAAAAGUUAAUGAGUUAAGUAUUAUUUUAAAAUGAUAAAAAAUAUAAAACAUAAAUCGGACACGGUGCACAUCUGUAGUCUUAGCUACUCAGGUGGCUAAAGCAGGAAGAUUUCAAGUUCAAGCAAGCCUGGGCAAUUUAGUGAGACUUGUCUUAAAAAAAAAAAUGACCUGAUGCCUGAUGACUCAGGUGGCUAAAGCAGGAAGAUUUCAAGUUCAAGCAAGCCUGGGCAAUUUAGUGAGACUUGUCUUAAAAAACAAAUGACCUGAUGACCUGGGGAUGUAUCUCUGUGUGAAGGCUCUGGGUUUUAUUUCCCAGUACUGCAAAAAACAAAAGCAAGCAAAUAAAAAACAAAACAAAAACUCAAAACAACAAACAAAACACACACAAAAGGAGAUAAACCCCCC